Molecule: unclassified non-coding RNA, 208 nt
Filed under: Hevea brasiliensis (rubber tree)
Lineage: Eukaryota; Viridiplantae; Streptophyta; Magnoliopsida; Malpighiales; Euphorbiaceae
Source: RNAcentral
AGGAAAAUUCAAUUCCAAGGGAGAGGAAGAGGAGUUGGGGCUGUGCCCAAGGGUAGAGGAUCUACAACACCGGGCUGGACUGGGGCUGGGUUUUGAUGUGGAUGGUAGAAGUUAGAACCACCAUUACAGAUUCUUUUCCUAUGAUGAAUCAAUGAGACUAGUAGUUUUGCUUUUGCUCCAGUUGGUAUAUUCUUUGCUGUGUCUUUCG